Molecule: ribosomal RNA, 887 nt
Filed under: Natalina schaerfiae
Lineage: Eukaryota; Metazoa; Mollusca; Gastropoda; Stylommatophora; Rhytididae
Description: partial 16S ribosomal RNA
Rfam family: Archaeal large subunit ribosomal RNA (bases 329-574)
Source: RNAcentral
GAAAAAGAAGAGCUAAACUUAGUUUAAAUAUUAGUUUAUAUAUAGCUAAUGUGAAAUAUAUUAGCUUAAUAGCUUAGUUUAGGAGUGAAAAGCUUUCAAUUCUUUUGAUAGCUGGAUUAAAGUUAAAUGUAUUUAGUACAGGUUUAAUAACUGAUAUUAAAAGUGUUAAGAUUUUUAAUAUUUAAUUUAAAAUUUUAUUUAAUGGUUUAAUUUGGAUUAGUCUCCUAAUAAAAAUUACUCUAAAUAAUUAAUUUAUAAUAGUUAAAUAAUGUAACUUUAGGAACCUUUAAUUGUGUAAUGUUGUUUAUAAUGUUAAAAUUAGUAUUAAUUAAUAAAUUUUUUUAAAGGAACUCGGCAAAUAAGCUUUUCAACUGUUUACCAAAAACGUAGCUUAAUGAAUAAAUAUUAAGUAUCUCCUGCCCAGUGAUUUAUUUUUAACGGCCGCAGUACCCUGACUGUGCAAAGGUAGCAUAAUAAAUUGGCUUUUAAUUGAAGUCUUGUAUCAAUGGAGUCAUGAAUAGGCACUGUCUCUACAAAAGUAUAUAGAAAUUACCAUUAAGGUGAAAAUGCCUUUAAUUUACUACAUAGACAAGAAGACCCUAAGAGUUUAAAAUAUUCAAGUUUAUUACUUGUUCUUUUUUGUUGGGGCGACAAGGUAACAAAUAUAAUUAAGUUUUAAUUAAAAACUUACCUUUUUAUUUAAUACAAGACGAAAUAUACUAAGUAAGAAUAAACUACCUUAGGGAUAACAGCAUAAUAGUAAUUUUAUUGUUUGUGACCUCGAUGUUGGAUUAGGUAAUGAAUCAACUAGACGUUGUUUCAUUUUGUUCUGUUCGAACUUAAUUCACCUACAUGAUCUGAGUUCAGACCGGCGCAAGCCAGGUCAG